CCUACGGGAGGCAGCAGUAAGGAAUAUUGGACAAUGCUCGCAAGAGUGAUCCAGCCAUGCCGCGUGCAGGAAGAAUGCCCUAUGGGUAGUAAACUGCUUUUGAACUAGAGAAAACCCCAGUACGUGUACUGGGCUGAUAGUAUAGUUAGAAUAAGCAUCGGCUAACUUCGUGCCAGCAGCCGCGGUAAGACGAAGGAUGCAAGCGUUAUCCGGAUUCAUUGGGUUUAAAGGGAGCGUAGGUGGACUGAUAAGUCAGUGGUGAAAUCUCCGAGCUUAACUCGGAAAUUGCCAUUGAUACUGUUGGUCUUGAGUACAGUUGCUGUGGGCGGAAUAUGACAUGUAGUGGUGAAAUACAUAGAGAUGUCAUAGAACACCGAUUGCGAAGGCAGCUCACAAAGCUGUAACUGACACUGAGGCUCGAAAGUGCGGGGAUCAAACAGGAUUAGAUACCCUGGUAGUCCGCACCGUAAACGAUGAUUACUCGCUGCUAGGGGGCAACCUUUAGUGGCUUAGCGAAAGCGAUAAGAAUCCACCUGGGGAGUACGCCGGCAACGGUGAAACUCAAAGGAAUUAGACGG
Molecule: ribosomal RNA, 578 nt
Filed under: uncultured bacterium
Lineage: Bacteria
Description: bacterial SSU rRNA
Rfam family: Bacterial small subunit ribosomal RNA
Source: RNAcentral